Molecule: long non-coding RNA, 1376 nt
Filed under: Populus trichocarpa (black cottonwood)
Lineage: Eukaryota; Viridiplantae; Streptophyta; Magnoliopsida; Malpighiales; Salicaceae
Description: long non-coding RNA (PTRI_LNC003557)
Source: RNAcentral
AUUUCUUCAACAAUAUAAAAGCUCAAAAAUUACAGUAGGUGCCACAAGAUUAUAAAUCCAAAUUUCUUUGUAAGUUCCUGCUGCUCCUACUGUCCCACAGUCCUCACUGUGUUGUUUUUAUUGUUUUGCAACUCAAUAAUCAAACAUAUCAUAUCAUGUUAAGAUAGGAUGCUGAGCAAGACUCAAUUGAUUUGGUCAAUGACGUGGACACCUAUGGUGAUGGGGAAGAAGAAGACGACGUUGCAAAUGAUAAGGAUAGCGCAGGUGUGUUUCAAUCAGUCACAAGCACUUUUGGGAACGGCAACAUCGGGUUGGAAAAAUCAGAUCUGGCAAAGGAUGGAGACAAUUAUCAGGUGGUGUGCUGCUUCAAUCAGAAGAUUUGAAUAAUUUUCAUAAUUUUUUAAUAAUUGAUAACGUGUAAGUUUAAGAUUAAUUUCACUAUAUAUUGUAUUUUAAUUUUUUUAUAAUCAUGAAUUAAUUAUUUUAAUUUGAUUAGUUACUAAGUGGUGCAUAAAUAAUUUUUUUAAAAUGCUAAAAUCAUAUUUAGAUUAGUCCAACGAUUUAGAAAGGUUUAUUCACUUUAAUUUAUCUUCAUUUUUAUUUUAUUUUAAAGUAUUAUGAAUUUUAUGAAUUUUAAUUCACAUUGAGAAAAUAUAGAUACACAACUGACUAAGUUUGCAUUCAUGCAUAGUGAAACAAAUUCAUAUAUAAUUUUUGAUAAUGAAGAUCAAUAAAGUAAAAAACCAUAAUGAAUCUAUAAAAUCAAUGAAGAUAAACUUUUAAAGAACCAUCUUAACUUAAAGGUUUAAACUAUUAGAUAGAUAAGGUUCUAAAAUAUGAUUUACAUUAUUUUAUAACACAAGUAAAAACCUUUUGGAUUUAAAACUUUCACAUACUCACACUACCUUGUGCUAUUAUUAAUUUUGAUCUUAAAAGAACAAAGAUAAUGAAAUUCGAACUCGUGACAUUUAGAUCGAUAAUACUCUGAUAUCAUAUUAAAAAAUCAUUUUAAUCUAAAACUUUAAUUCUUAGAUUACAUCUUAAUAUAUAAUUUAUAUUAUUUUCUAAUAUAAAAUAUGAAAGAGAUGUGAUUAAUUUCUCAUUUUAUAAGUUAUUAAAUUUAAUAUAAAAAAUUCCCUCCACAUUGAUUCCAAACUAAUAUAUCCUAUUUCCGACCUAGGCAAUGGAGUAAUUAAAAAGAAAUUACGUAGACAGUUGCAGAUAAGCUUGCAUUAAUUGGAUGUUAAUCUAGCGUCUUAUACGCUGUAGGAUAGACAUGUGGCAUCGAGUUAUCGGCCCAGGGAGGAAGCCCAUUAAGCAUGUUGGCCCAGGUAGGAAGUCCAUUAAGCAUGUUGUUUGUUAAAAAUCUAAGCAGG